AGGAUUAACGCUGGCGGCGUGCCUAACACAUGCAAGUCGAACGAGGUAGCAAUACCUAGUGGCAGACGGGUGAGUAACGCGUGGUCAACCUACCGUUGAGUGGGGGAUAACUAGCCGAAAGGUUAGCUAAUACCGCAUACGUCUCCGAGGGGCAUCCCUUGGCGAUAAAAGGAGCAAUCCGCUCGAUGACGGGACCGCGUCCCAUUAGCUAGAUGGUGGGGUAACGGCCUACCAUGGCACCGAUGGGUAGCUGGUUUGAGAGAGCGACCAGCCACACUGGGACUGAGAAACGGCCCAGACUCCUACGGGAGGCAGCAGUGAGGAAUUUUCCGCAAUGGGCGCAAGCCUGACGGAGCGACGCCGCGUGUGGGAAGAAGGCCUUCGGGUCGUAAACCGACUGUCGAAGGGGACGAUAAUGACGGUACCCUUGGAGGAAGCCCCGGCUAACUACGCGCCAGCAGCCGC
RNAcentral lists this ribosomal RNA (465 nucleotides) under uncultured bacterium. RNAcentral's name for it is "SSU rRNA". It matches the Rfam family "Bacterial small subunit ribosomal RNA", at positions 26 to 518 of the family's 1533-position model. The record is from RNAcentral.